UGAGGGAAAGGCGAAAAGAACCCCGGCGAGGGGAGUGAAAAAGAACCUGAAACCGUGUACGUACAAGCAGUGGGAGCACCCUUUGGGUGUGUGACUGCGUACCUUUUGUAUAAUGGGUCAGCGACUUAUAUUCUGUAGCAAGGUUAACCGAAUAGGGGAGCCGGAGGGAAACCGAGUCUUAAUUGGGCGUUAAGUUGCAGGGUAUAGACCCGAAACCCGGUGAUCUAGCCAUGGGCAGGUUGAAGGUUGGGUAACACUAACUGGAGGACCGAACCGACUAAUGUUGAAAAAUUAGCGGAUGACCUGUGGCUGGGGGUGAAAGGCCAAUCAAACCGGGAGAUAGCUGGUUCUCCCCGAAAGCUAUUUAGGUAGCGCCUCGUGAAUUCAUCUCCGGGGGUAGAGCACUGUUUCGGCUAGGGGGCCAUCCCGGCUUACCAACCCGAUGCAAACUGCGAAUACCGGAGAAUGUUAUCACGGGAGACACACGGCGGGUGCUAACGUCCGUCGUGAAGAGGGAAACAACCCAGACCGCCAGCUAAGGUCCCAAAGUCAUGGUUAAGUGGGAAACGAUGUGGGAAGGCCCAGACAGCCAGGAUGUUGGCUUAGAAGCAGCCAUCAUUUAAAGAAAGCGUAAUAGCUCACUGGUCGAGUCGGCCUGCGCGGAAGAUGUAACGGGGCUAAACCAUGCACCGAAGCUGCGGCAGCGACGUUUAUGCGUUGUUGGGUAGGGGAGCGUUCUGUAAGCCUGCGAAGGUGGCCUGUGAGGGUUGCUGGAGGUAUCAGAAGUGCGAAUGCUGACAUAAGUAACG
RNAcentral lists this ribosomal RNA (809 nucleotides) under Salmonella enterica subsp. enterica serovar Bovismorbificans. RNAcentral describes it as "partial 23S ribosomal RNA". It matches the Rfam family "Bacterial large subunit ribosomal RNA", at positions 504 to 1311 of the family's 2925-position model. The record is from RNAcentral. Lineage: Bacteria; Pseudomonadati; Pseudomonadota; Gammaproteobacteria; Enterobacterales; Enterobacteriaceae.